GACGAACGCUGGCGGCGUGCUUAACACAUGCAAGUCGAACGGAAAUGUCCUGCUUUUGUGGGGUGCUCGAGUGGCGACCGGGUGAGUAACACUUGAGUAACCUGUCCUUGACUUUGGGUUAACUUCAGGAAACUUGGGCUAAUACCGGAUAGGAGCUCCCGCUUCUUGGUGGGGGUUGGAAUGUUUCGGCGGUUGGGGAUGGACUCGCGGCUCGUCAGCUUGUUGGUGGGGUAGUGGCUUACCAAGGCUUUGACGGGUAGCCGAGCUGAGAGGGUAACAGGCCACAUUAGGUCUGAAAUACGACACAGACUCCUACGGGACGCAGCGGUGCGGAAGAGUGCACAAUGGACGGGAGCCAAGUGCAGCGAAGCCGCGUGCGGGAUAAGGGGCUUCGGGUUGGAAACCACUAUCGCUUCUCACGAGGCGUGAAUGACGGUAAUGGGUAAAGAAGCACCGGCUAACUACGUG
RNAcentral lists this ribosomal RNA (468 nucleotides) under uncultured bacterium. RNAcentral describes it as "partial 16S ribosomal RNA". It matches the Rfam family "Bacterial small subunit ribosomal RNA", at positions 28 to 507 of the family's 1533-position model. The record is from RNAcentral.